Molecule: long non-coding RNA, 853 nt
Organism: Malania oleifera
Lineage: Eukaryota; Viridiplantae; Streptophyta; Magnoliopsida; Santalales; Ximeniaceae
Exons: 3
Source: RefSeq, a predicted model, not a curated record
UCUUCCUCUACUUCCAUAUGAAUCUAAAUUAAAAAUGCCCGAUCACGUAUAAAUCGACUGAGCAUCGGCGAAUUGUAUUCAAUGUAAGCACCCUGUCCCGCCGGAGACCUAAUUUUUUCUCAAUUUCGUCUUCUGAUUCACACAGUCAAACGUUUUCUUCCAUGCGCGAAAACCCUAAUACCCGCGCAGCAAUGCAGCAUGGCCUUGGCCACCAUGGUCGGCUGCCAGCAUGGCGUCCGGUCGCACGCUACUGGUGCCCUCUCUUCUCCUCUCAGAUUUUCUUUUUCUGGAGAACAGAAAGAAACUCAAGCCCUCGCGAUCCGCCAUUGCUGACACCCCUCCGUAAGCCGCCGUGCCAAUAGAGGCGUACCUUCGUGCUUAAAUCCUGAGCCUAGAACUGGUAUUGUCUUGUAGGGAUUGGAAGAGUUUCCAAGAUCAGCCCAGAACAUAAUCCCACAUGUGGGUGCUGUAAAUUACUUUUUAGCAGGACUGUCAUAACAUGCAUUCUGCUGAAGUUUGCUCAAGAUCAAACCUAUUUAUGGGAUUGAAGGAGUUUCUAAGAUGAGGACGGAGCAUAAUCCCAUUACACGGGUGGUGGAAAUUGCUUUUUAGCAGCAGAAGUGCCUUCGUGUGCAUUCUGCAGAAGUUUGCUCAAGAUCAAACCUAUUUAUGUAUGUGCAUAUUUUUUUUCCGGGAAUUUUAGAACUCAGUUCUGCACAUCUAGUUUUCUGUUUUCCAAUUGUGCUGCCUUAUUUUGUAAUGAUUUUGUUCUUGGCUUAGAUUUGAUGGAGAAUGAAGCAUUGAUGCAGAGUAACUAAUGUUGUAAAUAUUUUUUACCAAUCUUGGAUCCAAA